Molecule: non-coding RNA, 207 nt
Organism: Pelobates cultripes (western spadefoot toad)
Lineage: Eukaryota; Metazoa; Chordata; Amphibia; Anura; Pelobatidae
Source: the annotation of a GenBank genome assembly
GUUGGUCUCACCAAGGGGAAGGGAAGAUGAUGGGGGCGCCAGCUUGAAGUGCAAGUUGUGAGCGUCAGGAGCAGGGUCAGUGAGAGCAGGAGCCAUCGCAGCCAUUCAGCACAGGAAAGAGGGUGGGAGAGGGGAAGGGGCUUCUUCCCCAAAGGGGGAAGCCGAGGUAGGCCACGCUGUCCUCUGGCAGUUCCAAGGAGGGUCACC